This 197-nucleotide RNase P RNA is filed under the name Vicinamibacteria bacterium. RNAcentral describes it as "partial RNase P RNA component class A". It matches the Rfam family "Bacterial RNase P class A", at positions 189 to 367 of the family's 367-position model. From Rfam's summary of the family: Ribonuclease P (RNase P) is a ubiquitous endoribonuclease, found in archaea, bacteria and eukarya as well as chloroplasts and mitochondria. Its best characterised activity is the generation of mature 5'-ends of tRNAs by cleaving the 5'-leader elements of precursor-tRNAs. Lineage: Bacteria; Pseudomonadati; Acidobacteriota; Vicinamibacteria. The record is from RNAcentral.
GACAUUCGCGGGACAGGGAAAACCCCACACGGAGCAAGACCAAAUAGGGGGGCGAUAAGAGGCGAUGGCCCAUCGCUCAGGCCCCCGGGUUGGUUGCAUGAGGCCGCGAGCAAUCGCGGUCCUUAGAGGGAUGAUCGUCCACUCUCACCAUUCAAAAGUGAGACGGACAGAAUCCGGCUUACAGGCCAACUCCGCCG